UUAAAAAAAAGAAAAAGGGCCCCCGUGGCCCAGUGGGUAGAGUGAUGCACUUGGAGUUUGGCGUGAGGGAAGUGAGGGGCGCGGAGGUUCGAACCCCCCUCUCGGAACUUACAAAAACCUUCAAAGAGCUUCCCUCCAUCACCAUGUGUGCCUCAAACACACAGGUACGGUGAUGGAGCUGCCCACGGGGAGGAGGGGAGGUGAGUGCGCAGCACCUCCCUACCCUCCCCAGGGGUGGAAGGCACCGCCUUACCACCCCCGGGAGAGCAAGGGAGGUGAGUGCACAGCGCUUCCCUUCUCUCCCCUACCUAACCCUGGCAAGUCUACGGACUACCGGGCAAAAAAUAAUAAAAAAAAAAAAAUAAAUAAAUAAAGGUAAGUGCAUAGCACUUCCCUACCAUGCAAAAGAAAAAUAAAUAAAAAAUAAAGGUGAGUGCAUGGCACUUCCCUUCUCUUGCUACUAAUCGUAACCCAGGAAAAAAAAAAAAAAAAUUAAUGACUAACUCUGGCAAGAAAGAUUAAAAAAAAACCUGACCCCUGGCACCACCAACCUAACCAACCAACCAACCACCUCCCCAUCCUGGCAACUGAUACUGGCAACUCAAAAAAAAAAACAGACUGACCCAGGGAAACAUGGGAGGUGAGUGUGCAGCACCUCCCUACCCUUCCCUGUCUCCCAGUUUGACUUUGAUUCAUUCAUCCUAGCAACUCCAAAGACCACCAGUAUCUCCUACUCUCCCACCAUGACUGACAACUGAUCCUGGUAAGGUGAGUGCGUAGCACUUCCCUACCACCAACCUGGCUCUGACCAUGACUAACCUUACAACUGACCGCCAAACUGACUGACCCUGGGGAGCAUGGGAGGUGAGUGUGCAGCACCUCCCUACACUUCCCAGUCUCUAACCACCAACCUGACUCAUCCCAGGAACUCCAAAGAGCAACUCCAAAUGUACAGACCACCAGUAUCUCCUACUCUCCCCACUGAUCCUGGCAAGGUGAGUGCGUAGCACUUCCCUACUGACCCUGGCCUGGCAUCCAACAACCAACCUGACUUACAAAUGUGUAAUCUGGCAACACACCACCAAACUGACUGACCCUGGGGAGCAUGGGAGGUGAGUGUGCAGCACCUCCCUACCCUCCCCAGUCUCCUAGUUUGACUCUGAACAUCCUGAUAAAUCCUAGCAAAUCCAAAGGGCAACUCCAACUGUACCGACCACCAACCAUCCUGGCAACUCCACCAACAUGACUGACCAAGAAGAAGAAGAAGAAGAAGCAGCAUCAUUACAGCCAUCAGAGGAAGAACUCCAAACUCUAACUGUACCAACUUCCAACCUAACUGACUCCAACUGUACCCAUCACCAACCUAACUGACUCUGGGGAGCAGGGGAGAUGAGUGUGCAGCACCUCCCUAACCCCCAAUCUGAUUCUGACUUUGGCAACAGACCACUAAACUGACUGACCCUAGUAACUGAUCCUGACUGACAGCAGACUACCAAACUGACUGACUAAGGGAAGGUGAGUGUGCAGCAGCACCUUGCCAGUCUCUGAUGAAGAAGAACAAGAAGCACUACCAUCCUGGCAGCUACAAAGACCACCAACCUGACUGACCAACUAACUAUACAGACCACCAAUCUCACUGAUUCUGACUCCUGACUCUGACUCCUACACUCUCAGCCUGACUGACCCUGGCAACUGAUCCGGCAACCUGACUGACUCUGGCAACAGACAUCCGAACUGACUGACUAAGGGGAGGUGAGUGUGCAGCACCUCCUCACCAACCACUUCCAACUUCCAGCCUGACGGACUCAGGCAACUCCAAAACUCCUGACAACUUCAGAGUGACGCUGGGGAGGAGGGGAGGUGAGUGUGCAGCACCUCCCUACCCCCAAUCUGAUUCUGACCACCAGCCUGACUCUGGCCUAUUACUCUGGCAACAGACCACCAAACUGACUGAACCUGGGGAGCAUGGGGGGGUGAGUGUGCAGCACCUCCCUACCCUUCCCAGUCUCCCAGUUUGACUCUUAGCACCAAGAUGAUUCACUCAUUGAUUCGGGGGAGGUGAGUGCAAUACCUCCUAUCUAACACUGACUACAGACCUGACUGACUCUGGAGAGGAGGGGAGGUGAGUGUGCAGCACCUGCCUGACUGACCCUGGCAACUGAGACUCUCGCGAAUAGAUGGGGCACUUUCAUCAUUAAUUACU
This is a long non-coding RNA of Scylla paramamosain (green mud crab), 2203 nucleotides long. RefSeq lists it as uncharacterized. Lineage: Eukaryota; Metazoa; Arthropoda; Malacostraca; Decapoda; Portunidae. The record is from RefSeq and is a predicted model, not a curated record. The transcript is spliced from 2 exons.